Molecule: long non-coding RNA, 211 nt
Filed under: Gossypium barbadense (sea-island cotton)
Lineage: Eukaryota; Viridiplantae; Streptophyta; Magnoliopsida; Malvales; Malvaceae
Description: long non-coding RNA (GBAR_LNC006978)
Source: RNAcentral
CCAGGCAUUAACUCAAUACCGAACUCUAUUUCUCGAAUAGGUGGCAGUCCCGGUAAUUCUUCUGAAAACACAUCCGGAUACUCACAUACAACAGGUACUGAUUCAAUAUUUCUUUCAGCCACUUUACUGUCGAGCACAUAGACAAAAUAAGCUUUACACCCUUUCCUCACAUAUUUCUGAGCUAGCAUCGAAGAAAUCACUACUGGUAGCC